GAAUUAGUACGCCGGUCAUGCUUCGGUAUGUACUAGUGUCACUGAUUCCUUCCUUCUGACGAACCGUCAUGCCAUUAAUUUAGUGUGACGGGGAAUCAGGACUGUUACUUUGAAAAAAUUAGAGUGUUUAAAGCAGGCUCGCGCUUGAAUACAUUAGCAUGGAAUAAUGAAAUAGGACGUUGAUCUUAUUUUGUUGGUUUCUUAGAUCGACGUAAUGAUUAAUAGGGAUAGUUGGG
Molecule: ribosomal RNA, 236 nt
Filed under: uncultured Glomeromycotina
Lineage: Eukaryota; Fungi; Glomeromycota
Description: partial small subunit ribosomal RNA
Rfam family: Eukaryotic small subunit ribosomal RNA (bases 37-236)
Source: RNAcentral